AUUGAACGCUGGCGGCAUGCCUUACACAUGCAAGUCGAACGGCAGCACGGGAGCAAUCCUGGUGGCGAGUGGCGAACGGGUGAGUAAUAUAUCGGAACGUGCCCAGUCGUGGGGGAUAACGUAGCGAAAGCUACGCUAAUACCGCAUACGAUCUAUGGCUGAAAGCGGGGGAUCGCAAGACCUCGCGCGAUUGGACUGGCAGAUAUCAGAUUAGGUAGUUGGUGAGGUAAAAGCUCACCAAGCCGACGAUCUGUAGCUGGUCUGAGAGGACGACCAGCCACACUGGGACUGAGACACGGCCCAGACUCCUACGGGAGGCAGCAGUGGGGAAUUUUGGACAAUGGGCGCAAGCCUGAUCCAGCAAUGCCGCGUGCAGGAUGAAGGCCUUCGGGUUGUAAACUGCUUUUGUACGGAACGAAACGGUGAGCUCUAAUACAGUUUGCUAAUGACGGUACCGUAAGAAUAAGCACCGGCUAACUACGUGCCAGCCGCCGCGGUAA
Molecule: ribosomal RNA, 500 nt
Filed under: uncultured bacterium
Lineage: Bacteria
Description: partial 16S ribosomal RNA
Rfam family: Bacterial small subunit ribosomal RNA
Source: RNAcentral